RNAcentral lists this ribosomal RNA (253 nucleotides) under uncultured bacterium. RNAcentral describes it as "partial 16S ribosomal RNA". It matches the Rfam family "Bacterial small subunit ribosomal RNA", at positions 524 to 776 of the family's 1533-position model. The record is from RNAcentral.
GACGUAGGGCGCGAGCGUUGUCCGGAUUUAUUGGGCGUAAAGAGCUCGUAGGCGGCUUGUUACGUCGUUCGUGAAAACCCGAGGCUCAACCUCGGGCUUGCGGUCGAUACGGGCAGGCUAGAGUUCGGUAGGGGAGACUGGAAUUCCUGGUGUAGCGGUGAAAUGCGCAGAUAUCAGGAGGAACACCGAUGGCGAAGGCAGGUCUCUGGGCCGAUACUGACGCUGAGGAGCGAAAGCGUGGGGAGCGAACAGG